UGUGCUAUUUAAAAAUGCUGGCUUUCUGGGCCGUCCUGCCAGGGCAAACUCUGACUGAGGCAGGAGGGCCGACUACCGAGAGAGGACUUGAGUGUUGUCUGUUGUAGCUCACUUGCUGGCAGGGACCUCGAAAUGCCAUAGAGUUGUGGCAGUAAACAAGACUACAACCAGUACCUCAGCCAUGAGGCUGGAAAGCUAAGGAAUGGACUGGAUCUAGCUGGCAAAGCCACGGCUUUAAUCCUACUCAUAUUGCUCAGUAAUUUAAAGGCUCGUGUGGUCAGAAAAAGAGAGAUAUACAGUAAAGAGAUUCAAAGAUAAAGAAAAUGUUUAAAUGAUUUACAGUGUGUUAAAAAUAUAUGCAAGCUAAAAGUUAAAAGUUUUUAAAAAAAAAGUAAGAAAAAGAGAAGUUGUGUGUGGUAGUACACGCCUUUAAUCCCAACACUUGGGAGGCAGAGGGAGAUUGACCUCUGUGACUUCAAGGUGUGGUAGCAAACACCUUUAAUCCCAAUGCCUGGGAGGCAGAGACAGGCGGAUCUCUGAGAGUUCAAGGAGAGCCUGGUCUACAGAGUUAUUCCAGGUCAAAGAGAUACAGAGAAUAUAAAAUAAAAGUAAAAAUAAACGAAAUAGAGGUUAAAAUAAAGCGUACAAAGAUGGAAAAUACACAGAGAAUCUUGAUACUGUAUACUAUUAUGCUCUCUUUGAAUUGUUUGAAUGCUGAGGAAGGAGCAACAGAUGCUAAAAGAUAUUUGUUUAUAAAUGCUGCUGAACUAAUCCAUCGUAGAGAUUUUGAUGCCUUGACUUUGAAAUUUGGAUCUAAGGACAUGAUACUUUGGAAAGGAGUUUCUUAUUUUGUUUUCACAGAGGAUGAGACCCUGUUCAUUUCUUCUAUUCCGAUAUGGUAUGAUGGACCACGCCCUCCUGAACGGUUGCUGUGAAUACCUUCAGAAAAUUGCUUCGCUCAACUGCCAACUGAGAUGAAACUAGCACACAGGUUAUACCAUGAAAGACCUAAUUAACGACGCCCCCAUUCAGCAGGAAGCAGUUUGGAGAGAAAAAACUGCGCCCAUGUUCCCAAAUAUGGUUUAUAAAUGUUCUUUUACAUUUAAAGGGGGAGAUGAUAUAGGUAUGAAUAAUUUACAUUGAUAUGGAUUUUGCUUUAGUGAUUUAAAUUUAAGGUUAAUUUUGUAAUGUAUAUAGGUUGUUAAUGAAUAAUCAUUAAUAAUAGUUAAGUUUGUAGUCAUGUUAGUUAAGAUUUUCUAGAUGUGCAUAGAUAUAUUUUAGAUAGGCAUUCUUCAUAUUUUUCAAAGAUUAUAGAAUAUGGCAUUUUAAAUGUUUUAAUAACUUAGGACUUUUCAUGACAAUGAGACACUCUGCUCCUGGCAGCACCAAUCUACUUCAAGAGGAAGAUGGGCAUCGAAGAGGAUCCUUAUGGAGUUUGAUAGCCAUUUGGGCAAGAAACUGCUCUUGCCUGGACUAUUGCAUAAACUGGACACAAAGAACCCACACAGAGAGGACUACUGAACUUGCCUAAAGGUGAGAUGACCUUUUGGGGUUCCUGAUUCAUGAAAGAGUCUGCAAGACAUUCUUCAGGACAAGCAGAUAGUGACUGCCUUUGAAAUUUCCUGCUUUGUGGAAAUGUCUGCUGGAAACUAUGGGCCUGUAGGCUGAAGAUGGAUGCCCCAAUGUUCCUCUGUACCGUUGGGGCAUCCAUCUUCAGCCUACAGGCCCAUAGUUUCCAGCAGACAUUUCCACAAAGCAGGAAAUUUCAAAGGCAGUCACUAUCUGCUUGUCCUGAAGAAUGUCUUGCAGACUCUUUCAUGAAUCAGGAACCCCAAAAGGUCAUCUCACCUUUAGGCAAGUUCAGCAGUCCUCUCUCUGCGGGUUCUCUGUGUCCAGUUUAUGCAAUAGUCCAGGCAAGAGCAGUCUCUUGCACAAAUGGCUAUCAAACUCCAUAAGGAUCCUCUUCGAUGCCCAUCUUCCUCUUGAAGUAGAUUGGUGAUGCCAGGAGCAGA
Molecule: long non-coding RNA, 2012 nt
Organism: Alexandromys fortis (reed vole)
Lineage: Eukaryota; Metazoa; Chordata; Mammalia; Rodentia; Cricetidae
Exons: 3
Source: RefSeq, a predicted model, not a curated record